AUGGCAUCCCACGCGAUCGAGAUCUCGAAAGGUGCGGAAGGCCAUGACAAGAUCCACCAAAUCCUCUUCCAACUUGAGGAAGCCGUUGUUCAGCACGGGGCCAUCUCUGGGGCUCAGGCCAUCUCGCUCAGGCCUUCCCGAGACAAUGGGUGUCAUGAUCGCCAUGUUAGUGGCCAUCGAGUUGAGGACCCUGACCCUCAAGAUCAAGACGAUCAUCCUCAAGACGAUGACAUCGCCUACAUGGGAUCGAGAGCUUAUGGCACCUGCACCCGCAAUGUCAAGUUCCUGGAACGCUUUCGGCCCUAUGGUGUGGACAAGUACACUGACGAGGCCAGACCCAACAUCUGGCUCGCGAACUGUACUACACCACAUGCGUCAUUGUCGGGGGGCAACGAUUUGCAUGGCUGUGAGAUACCUUCCUCUUCAUCUGGUCGUGAUAAGAACGGCCAGAAUAGAAGAAGUCAAACGGUUGCAAACGCAGCCUAUGGGUCACAUGCAAGCAGGAAAAUAUCCAAACCUCGGCCGAUAGGAGGAGCAAACAGUACGUCGCCCAACGACAAACACCACCACCGGCGACAAAGCUGGAUGAACCAGAAGCUGCAAAGCGAAGAGACCAAAGGAGAAUUCCCUCAAGAAGACACGCCUAAAACUGAAGAUUUCAUGCAAAGGACAAAGGAUAAAAAGCAGAGAAUUAACCAGUUGCAGAAUUUACUUGGUAGGCUUGGUCCAGUUAGUUAUAGGAACUUUAUGAUGCUGCACGAUUACACGGCUAAUGGCCUAGACCAGUUAGUUAGGCUUGGUCCAGUAGUUAGGAUGCCAACCUGCACCCUGGACCUGGAGGCAUCCGGCGGCGAGAGUGUGAGGAACGUGCCACCAGGUCGGUGCAAGUAG
This 891-nucleotide ribosomal RNA is filed under the name Triticum aestivum (bread wheat). RNAcentral describes it as "partial small subunit ribosomal RNA". Lineage: Eukaryota; Viridiplantae; Streptophyta; Magnoliopsida; Poales; Poaceae. The record is from RNAcentral.